UUUAAUGAUUUUUGUUCCCUUCUUGGCGUGUUUUUAUUUCUUGGCUGAAAAAUGAAUAGACUGAGAGAUAAGGUGUGAGAAAGCCUUGGUGAGGCUGCCAACAUCCUAUCCCAGAUUCCUGAGCCACUGAAGACAUUGAGCCCUCCCUCCAGUUCCACAGUGGCCUGGUGUAGCUAGCCUGGGCGCCCUUCCGACUCUAAGGCCAGGGAUUGGUCCGUGGCACGCCUAACGUGGAAUUCUCCACACACACCUGGACCCCCUAUCCACGAGGAAGAAACAGGAAGGGCCCACUGAGUAUAGGAAGACGCCAGUGCCAUCUGUGGAAAACCAGGAGAAAAGUACUGCUUAAAUUCGACUGUUCCCCAGUUGGGGUCAGGACCAAGCGCCAGGAGGAAGCCUGGCGUCGGAGGGGCUGCAGCUAGAAACUGCCAGUCUGGCUCCAUACGGGCACCUUUUCCAUAGCUUCUCCUGCCCUUCCGGGGCUCGGGGGCGGGGCCUAGAGCGCUAUCCAAUCGGGGCGAUGGGGCGGGCGAUCAAACUGUCCAAUCAGGUGCGCCCCUGGGAAGAGCGGGCGAAGCCCCACAAUCCUCUGCGGCCUUUGAGUCUCCCGCGCGUCGCGGUCAGCUUCUGGUCUCGGCUGCUCAGACGCACGGCGUGUCUCCACCUCGGCUUCCGGCUGCGGGAGCCGCAGGGAGGACGCCGGGUCACCCCGGAGGCCAAGAAAUGAAAUGACAUCAUUGGAAGCUUUUGGUGUUGUCAGUAUUUUGGAGUUUGGCCAUUCUGAUAGGAUGGGCAUAUGGAUGACAUUCUCCUGCAAGGAAACUCAAAGGAUAUGGAGUACAAACACUCAUCAUAAUGGUCAGCCUAGGGAUGAUGCAUGUAUUAUCUUUUAUUGGCAUCAACUACAUUAAUUAAAGCAAAACCAACAUUUUUUGGAUUCCGAGGCAAAAUAUGCAUCAUGUAUAAAUAUUACCCUCUGUCCAAGCUCCUGAGCCUCCGCUUCCCCCAGCAGCUGACGUGCACCUGGUGAGGGGGACUGAAGUCUCCAGUCUUGAUGGUGGGGCUGCUGCUGGACUGAAGGGGGCAAUGAGACCUCAGUGGAAGUGACAGCUACCAAGGAGAGCACAGGAGAAGGAAGGAAGUAUGAAAUCCCUUCUGUAUCGGGCUGAGCUGAAGUCUCUGGGGAUUGGUUUGGGGUCAGGACACAGCCCUCUGCCACAAGGGAUGGAGUGGGUCACCAGGUUACUAUGACUCCUGUUACCGGGCUAAAGACAAAAUGGAUACCUCUUUAAAUCAUACCAUUCUACAAUGAACCUUGGUCCUUAAUCGCCAUCACACCCCAAACAAAGAUGAUGCCCAACUGGACGCAGAGACUGUUGAACUGUCUACCUACGUUGCCUGGGCUUUUGGUGAGGUUCCUGUUAAAGAAUACAUUUCCAUCUCUUGGUAUUAUCCUCCUGGUAGUCAUCAGUCUCCCUGGUGCCUCCUGUCCUCUCGAGAGUCUUAAAUGUUUGUAUGCAGCCAAUCAUGUGUCAAAUAGACUAGAACAGCAAAAACAUCAAGAAUCAUUCAACUGACCUAACAUUAUAACAUGUGAAUUCCAUACCAAGACCAAAUCAGUCUGUUAUGAUGGAGACAGUGUGGUGCAAUGCUGAAGGCUGACCAAAAGGGGGGGAAUUGUUAAAUAAACAGGAGCCCAUUGGCCUGA
This is a non-coding RNA of Microcebus murinus (gray mouse lemur), 1708 nucleotides long. The record is from RefSeq and is a predicted model, not a curated record. Lineage: Eukaryota; Metazoa; Chordata; Mammalia; Primates; Cheirogaleidae.